RNAcentral lists this ribosomal RNA (468 nucleotides) under uncultured bacterium. RNAcentral describes it as "partial 16S ribosomal RNA". It matches the Rfam family "Bacterial small subunit ribosomal RNA", at positions 28 to 507 of the family's 1533-position model. The record is from RNAcentral.
GACGAACGCUGGCGGCGUGCUUAACACAUGCAAGUCGAACGGAAAGGCCCUGCUUUUGUGGGGUGCUCGAGUGGCGAACGGGUGAGUAACACGUGAGUAACCUGCCCUUGACUUUGGGAUAACUUCAGGAAACUGGGGCUAAUACCGGAUAGGAGCUCCUGCUGCAUGGUGGGGGCUGGAAAGUUUCGGCGGUUGGGGAUGGACUCGCGGCUUAUCAGCUUGUUGGUGGGGUAGUGGCUUACCAAGGCUUUGACGGGUAGCCGGCCUGAGAGGGUGACCGGCCACAUUGGGACUGAGAUACGGCACAGACUCCUACGGGAGGCAGCAGUGGGGAAUAUUGCACAAUGGGCGGAAGCCUGAUGCAGCAACGCCGCGUGCGGGAUGACGGCCUUCGGGUUGUAAACCGCUUUCGCCUGUGACGAAGCGUGAGUGACGGUAAUGGAUAAAGAAGCACCGGCUAACUACGUG